RNAcentral lists this ribosomal RNA (459 nucleotides) under uncultured bacterium. RNAcentral's name for it is "bacterial SSU rRNA". It matches the Rfam family "Bacterial small subunit ribosomal RNA", at positions 340 to 786 of the family's 1533-position model. The record is from RNAcentral.
UACGGGAGGCAGCAGUGGGGAAUAUUGCACAAUGGGCGAAAGCCUGAUGCAGCUAUGCCGCGUGUAUGAAGAAGGCCUUAGGGUUGUAAAGUACUUUCAUCGGGGAGGAAAAAACAAAACUAAUAAUUUUAUUUCUUGACGUUACCCGAAAAAGAAGCACCGGCUAACUCCGUGCCAGCAGCCGCGGUAAUACGGAGGGUGCUAGCGUUAAUCAGAAUUACUGGGCGUAAAGAGCACGUAGGUGGUUUUUUUAAGUCAGAUGUGAAAUCCCUGGGCUUAACCUAGGAACUGCAUUUUGAAACUGAAAUACUAGAGUAUCGUAGAGGGAGGUAGAAUUCUAGGUGUAGCGGUGAAAUGCGUAGAUAUCUGGAGGAAUACCUGUGGCGAAAGCGGCCUCCUAAACGAAUACUGACACUGAGGGUGCGAAAAGCGUGGGGAGCAAAACAGGGAUUAGAUACC